RNAcentral lists this ribosomal RNA (405 nucleotides) under uncultured bacterium. Its description in RNAcentral is "bacterial SSU rRNA". It matches the Rfam family "Bacterial small subunit ribosomal RNA", at positions 354 to 776 of the family's 1533-position model. The record is from RNAcentral.
GUGGGGAAUAUUGGACAAUGGGCGCAAGCCUGAUCCAGCCAUGCCGCGUGAGUGAUGAAGGCCUUAGGGUUGUAAAGCUCUUUUGUCCGGGAAGAUAAUGACUGUACCGGAAGAAUAAGCCCCGGCUAACUUCGUGCCAGCAGCCGCGGUAAUACGAAGGGGGCUAGCGUUGCUCGGAAUCACUGGGCGUAAAGGGCGCGUAGGCGGACUUUUAAGUCGGGGGUGAAAGCCCAGGGCUCAACCCUGGAAUUGCCUUCGAUACUGGGAGUCUUGAGUUCGGAAGAGGUUGGUGGAACUGCGAGUGUAGAGGUGAAAUUCGUAGAUAUUCGCAAGAACACCGGUGGCGAAGGCGGCCAACUGGUCCGAAACUGACGCUGAGGCGCGAAAGCGUGGGGAGCAAACAGG